RNAcentral lists this ribosomal RNA (267 nucleotides) under Triticum aestivum (bread wheat). RNAcentral's name for it is "partial small subunit ribosomal RNA". Lineage: Eukaryota; Viridiplantae; Streptophyta; Magnoliopsida; Poales; Poaceae. The record is from RNAcentral.
CUGCUGGAGAAGCACAAUCUGAAAACACACCAGUAUAUGACAAAUCUAUUUGAGAUCAGAGAAAAAUGGGCAAAGUCGUACUUCAAGGGUGUGUUCUGCGCCAAGAUGACGAGCACACAGCGGAGCGAGAGUGCGAACCAUAUGCUGAAGAGCUACGUGCCUCCGGGUUCUCCGAUGCACAAGUUCGUGAGGUAAUACAUGAGGUUGCAGUUUGACCGUGCAUCGGACGAAAGUUACGAGGAAAAGCGAACGAAGCUGGUAAGUUAG